GUUCGUGCUGUGCUCUUCAUCGUCGCCACCGCGCCACCACACCGGAGAAGAAGGCAGGCUCGGGGGCCACGCCGUCGACCGGCGCAACGCCACUGCCCGCUGGUCCACGCGUCGGUCUUGCUGGAGGUGGCCGCGUCUCGCUGGUCCGCGACGCCGGCAUGCUUCCCUGCGGCCGGGGACGGGGCCUGAACUACACAGCGAGGACCUCGGCGCCGAGCCGUCGGGUGUGCCCAUCAACUAGCUGACCUCACCGCUCCGGCCGAGGUCGACCUUGCCGCGCUGCCCGAGGGAGCCCGCGCAGUCGGCAGCCAGCCAUGGCGCAGCCUGAUCCUCUCCGACCCCUAACGAGGAGGCGAUGUCCGAGCCGGACCUCGAGGCGCAGCAAGCAAGCGACGGCGGCGAGACAGCAGGCCACGGAGGAGCAUAUGGUUCGAAGGGCGUUGUCGGCGCGUCCUCUCCGCUGUGGAGAAGACCAAGGAGGCUACCAGCUGCCGAGGAGGCCGAGCUGGAGGGGAUGCCGCCCGAGUUCUACGAUGAGGUAUGUGCGCAUCUGUGCACGUGAAUGGGUGGAUUUCAUAUUUAGUUCGUCACUUCGCCUAGCCAUUUGAUGGCCGGGGAUGGAUUGCUGCCUUGCCGGAGUAGGGGCGGACCCCGGGGUGCACCAGGAGCCGGA
Molecule: long non-coding RNA, 673 nt
Organism: Panicum virgatum (switchgrass)
Lineage: Eukaryota; Viridiplantae; Streptophyta; Magnoliopsida; Poales; Poaceae
Exons: 3
Source: RefSeq, a predicted model, not a curated record